This 72-nucleotide transfer RNA is filed under the name Monilinia vaccinii-corymbosi. RNAcentral describes it as "tRNA-Pro". It matches the Rfam family "tRNA". From Rfam's summary of the family: Transfer RNA (tRNA) molecules are approximately 80 nucleotides in length. Their secondary structure includes four short double-helical elements and three loops (D, anti-codon, and T loops). Lineage: Eukaryota; Fungi; Ascomycota; Leotiomycetes; Helotiales; Sclerotiniaceae. The record is from RNAcentral.
GGUGCUGUGGUUUAGUGGUAUAAUUCUUGCUUAGGGUGUAAGAGGUCCCCGGUUCAAUCCCGGGCAGCGCCC